This 323-nucleotide unclassified non-coding RNA is filed under the name soil metagenome. RNAcentral describes it as "partial contains 5.8S ribosomal RNA, internal transcribed spacer 2, and large subunit ribosomal RNA". The stretch from base 1 to 120 matches the Rfam family "5.8S ribosomal RNA", at positions 35 to 154 of the family's 154-position model. The record is from RNAcentral.
GAUGAAGAACGUAGCGAAAUGCGAUAAGUAGUGUGAAUUGCAGAAUUCAGUGAAUCAUCGAAUCUUUGAACGCACAUUGCGCCCCUUGGUAUUCCAAGGGGCAUGCCUGUUCGAGCGUCAUUUGUACCUUCAAGCUUUGCUUGGUGUUGGGUGUUUGUCCUGAGGGACUCGCCUUAAAGUAAUUGGCAGCCAGUGUUUGGUUUUGAAGCGCAGCACAAGUCGCGAUUCAAAGCUAUACGCCCGCUUCCACAAGCCUUUUUCACUUUUGACCUCGGAUCAGGUAGGGAUACCCGCUGAACUUAAGCAUAUCAAUAAGCGGAGGA